This 301-nucleotide ribosomal RNA is filed under the name uncultured bacterium. RNAcentral's name for it is "partial 16S ribosomal RNA". It matches the Rfam family "Bacterial small subunit ribosomal RNA", at positions 509 to 809 of the family's 1533-position model. The record is from RNAcentral.
CAGUAGCCGCGGUAACACAGAGGGUGCGAGCGUUAAUCGGAUUUACUGGGCGUAAAGCGUGCGUAGGCGGCUUCUUAAGUCGGAUGUGAAAUCCCUGAGCUUAACUUAGGAAUUGCAUUCGAUACUGGGAAGCUAGAGUAUGGGAGAGGAUGGUAGAAUUCCAGGUGUAGCGGUGAAAUGCGUAGAGAUCUGGAGGAAUACCGAUGGCGAAGGCAGCCAUCUGGCCUAAUACUGACGCUGAGGUACGAAAGCAUGGGGAGCAAACAGGAUUAGAUACCCCCGUAGUCCCUGUCUCUUAUAA